UCAUAUGCUUGUCUCAAAGAUUAAGCCAUGCAUGUCUUAGUACAUACUUCCUGUAACAAAGUGAAACCGCAAAUGGCUCAUUAAAUCAGUUACGUUCGUCAAGAACUUAUCUCGCUUACAUGGAUAACUGUGGUAAUUCUAGAGCUAAUACAUGCCUCGUGUGCUGAGUGUUGGCAAUUUAAGGAGGGGGCUUGCUCUCUCUGGUCACGCAUCUCGGCUGCUUUUAUUAGACCAUGGCUUCGGCCUGUUGGUGACUCUAGAUAACAGUACGGAGGGUGUUCCUUUCGGGGGGCUCCUCUGGCUCAUCACCGGCUUGCCGGUGAGAGUAUCUUGCGAGUGUCUGCUCUAUCAGCUUUGGAUGGUAGGUUAUACGCCUACCAUGGCUGUAACGGGUAACGGGGAAUCAGGGUUCGAUUCCGGAGAGGGAGCCUGAGAAAUGGCUACCACAUCUAAGGAAGGCAGCAGGCGCGCAAAUUACCCAAUGCCAGAACGGCGAGGUAGUGACGCAAAAUAACAAUGCAGUCCACCCUUGUGGUGACUGUAAUUGGAAUGAGAGGAGUGCAAAGACCUUGCCGCAAGGCAUCGCCUAGUAGCACGAGCAUCAAUUGGAGGGCAAGUCUGGUGCCAGCAGCCGCGGUAAUUCCAGCUCCAAUAGCGUAUAUUAAAGUUGUUGCGUUUAAAAAGCUCGUAGUUGAAACUACCGGGCGGGUGAGAGGUAAAAACUGGGUACGGUUGGUAGCCGAAAGGUUCCCCUCCAGUCUCUCCCUGCCUAAGGUCUUCGGACCGUUAGAGAAGGGACGUACAGGCUUGGGGCCUUGUGUCACUGUUAGCCCUGUUGUUCCCGCUAUUACUCUGAAUAAUUCAAAAUGCUCAAAAUAGGGCCGUGUGCCCUUUGACUGAUCUUGCAUAGAAUAAUGAAAUAAGAUCCCUCGGGAUGUCUUCUUUCGUUGGUCUUCCAAUGUCUGAAUCACCCCAGCUUGCUGGGAUAAUGAUUAAUAGGGACAAACGGGGGCAUUAGUAUUACGGGGCUAGGGGUGAAAUCCGUUGACCCUCGUAAGACUUCCAAAAGCGAAAGCAUUUGCCAAGAAUGUUUUCUUUAAUCAAGAACGAAAGUUAGAGGUUCGAAGGCGAUCAGAUACCGCCCUAGUUCUAACCAUAAACGAUACCAACCAGCGAUCAGGGGUUGUUAGUAAGUUAGUCGGAACAGGGGGAUGCGUAAGUGUCCUCCCCGACCAAACAACAUUCCUGGAAGCUUCCUUUCACUUUCACGCGGGAAACCAAGUGAGUGUGCCGGUUACGGGGGAAGUAUGGUUGCAAAGCUGAAACUUAAAGGAAUUGACGGAAGGGCACCACCAGGAGUGGAGCCUGCGGCUUAAUUUGACUCAACACGGGGAAACUCACCCGGCCCAGACACUGGGACGAAUGACAGACUGACGCAAGUAGGGGGUUUCGGCCCUUAUACUAUAGAUAGCUCUUUCUUGAUUCAGUGAGUGGUGGUGCAUGGCCGUUCUUAGUUGGUGGAUUGAUUUGUCUGCUUAAUUGCGAUAACGAACGAGACUCUAUCCUUUCUAGUGUAGAAGCGGGCAUGGUGUGGAACCUUCGGGUUCCUUCACAUCUGCUUGCCUCGACUCUCGGGUCUUGGCUCGGCUUUCUACUAGAGGGACUACUAGUGGAACCUUUCGGGGUGAAACUAUGAGAAAGAAGAGCAAUAACAGGUCUGUGAUGCCCUUAGAUGUCUGGGGCCGCACGCGCGCUACACUGAGGUGAUCAGCGUGCGUAUGUGAGUGGUUGGUAGCAAUACCAGCCCAAGUCCUGAGCCGAAACGUUUGGGAAAUCAUCCUCAAAUCACUUCGUGAUUGGGAUUGGGCACUGUAACUGUGCCCAUGAACGAGGAAUUCCCAGUAAGGACAAGUCAUUAGCUUGUCCUGAUUACGUCCCUGCCCUUUGUACACACCGCCCGUCGCUACUACCGAUUGAAUGACUUAGUGAGGUCUACGGACGAGUGGACAGCGGAGCCUUUCGGGGUUCUGCCGUCUGUUUGAAAGUGGCCCAAACUGCUUCAUUUAGAGGAAGUAAAAGUCGUAACAAGGUUUCUGU
This 2097-nucleotide ribosomal RNA is filed under the name Parabonzia sp. AD1097. RNAcentral's name for it is "bacterial SSU rRNA". It matches the Rfam family "Eukaryotic small subunit ribosomal RNA". Lineage: Eukaryota; Metazoa; Arthropoda; Arachnida; Trombidiformes; Cunaxidae. The record is from RNAcentral.